Molecule: ribosomal RNA, 460 nt
Filed under: uncultured bacterium
Lineage: Bacteria
Description: partial 16S ribosomal RNA
Rfam family: Bacterial small subunit ribosomal RNA
Source: RNAcentral
CCUACGGGAGGCAGCAGUGAGGAAUAUUGGUCAAUGGACGAGAGUCUGAACCAGCCAAGUAGCGUGAAGGAUGACUGCCAUAUGGGUUGUAAACUUCUUUUAUAAAGGAAUAAAACGAGGCACGUGUGCCUUUUUGCAUGUACUUUAUGAAUAAGGAUCGGCUAACUCCGUGCCAGCAGCCGCGGUAAUACGGAGGAUCCGAGCGUUAUCCGGAUUUAUUGGGUUUAAAGGGAGCGUAGAUGGGUUGUUAAGUCAGUUGUGAAAUUUUGCGGCUCAACCGUAAAAUUGCAAUUGAUACUGGCAGUCUUGAGUACAGUUGAGGUAGGCGGAAUUCGUGGUGUAGCGGUGAAAUGCUUAGAUAUCACGAAGAACCCCGAUUGCGAAGGCAGCUUACUAAACUGUGACUGACAUUGAUGCUCGAAAGUGUGGGUAUCAAACAGGAUUAGAUACCCUAGUAGUC